AGUGAACGCUGGCGGUAGGUCUAACACAUGCAAGUCGAACGGCAGCACAGUAAGAGCUUGCUCUUACGGGUGGCGAGUGGCGGACGGGUGGGGAAUACAUCGGAAUCUACUUUUUCGUGGGGGAUAACGUAGGGAAACUUACGCUAAUACCGCAUACGACCUACGGGUGAAAGCAGGGGAUCUUCGGACCUUGCGCGAUUGAAUGAGCCGAUGUCGGAUUAGCUAGUUGGCGGGGUAAAGGCCCACCAAGGCGACGAUCCGUAGCUGGUCUGAGAGGAUGAUCAGCCACACUGGAACUGAGACACGGUCCAGACUCCUACGGGAGGCAGCAGUGGGGAAUAUUGGACAAUGGGCGCAAGCCUGAUCCAGCCAUACCGCGUGGGUGAAGAAGGCCUUCGGGUUGUAAAGCCCUUUUGUUGGGAAAGAAAAGCAGCAGGUUAAUACCCCGCUGUUCUGACGGUACCCAAAGAAUAAGCACCGGCUAACUUCGUG
This 492-nucleotide ribosomal RNA is filed under the name uncultured bacterium. Its description in RNAcentral is "partial 16S ribosomal RNA". It matches the Rfam family "Bacterial small subunit ribosomal RNA", at positions 29 to 507 of the family's 1533-position model. The record is from RNAcentral.